AAGUCGUAACAAGGUUUCCGUAGGUGAACCUGCGGAAGGAUCAUUAACACGUAUCCACGUAUCAACCCUUGUGCUCUUUGUUUUGGAAUGGAAUAUCAACUGAGGUGAGAGCGAAUGCUUUUGUUUUUCUUUCGGGAAAAUAAAAGUGUUGGUGAUUGUCUCUUUUGACUUCCAAUCUAACCUUUUUUUUAAUUAUUUUCUUUAAACCCUUUGUACCUUUCUUACUGAAACUUGAUUGUCUUUUGGUUUCGCGAGGCUCCGGCCUUGUGGAAUGAAAAACAAUUAUUUUACGAAAUGCUUGACAACUCUUAGCAACGGAUAUCUUGGUUCUC
This 332-nucleotide unclassified non-coding RNA is filed under the name fungal sp. RNAcentral describes it as "partial internal transcribed spacer region". The stretch from base 1 to 46 matches the Rfam family "Eukaryotic small subunit ribosomal RNA", at positions 1786 to 1831 of the family's 1831-position model. Lineage: Eukaryota; Fungi. The record is from RNAcentral.